UACGGAGGGUGCAAGCGUUACUCGGAAUUAUUGGGCGUAAAGCGCGUGUAGGCGGUUUAGUAAGUCUGAUGUGAAAUCCCUGGACUCAAUCCAGGAAGUGCAUUGGAUACUGCUAGACUAGAGUUUUGGAGAGGUGAACGGAAUUCCUGGUGUAGAGGUGAAAUUCGUAGAUAUCAGGAGGAACAACAGAGGCGAAGGCGGUUCACUGGACAAUAACUGACGCUCAGACGCGAAAGCGUGGGUAGCAAACAGG
This 253-nucleotide ribosomal RNA is filed under the name uncultured bacterium. Its description in RNAcentral is "partial 16S ribosomal RNA". It matches the Rfam family "Bacterial small subunit ribosomal RNA", at positions 524 to 776 of the family's 1533-position model. The record is from RNAcentral.